GCUAGAGAUAAUCUUGUACUUGGGGCUAACAUACGAGUACAAUUGGGAAACCUGUGUUCUCAUUCAGUUGCUCCGCUUUGCCUCGGGAAGGUCUGAGUGAAGGUGGAUUCUCGGUCUGGGAGGGUCUAUGUUCUAGCUGGACACUUAAUUAACAAGAGAUAGGGGGACCAGAAAUUUCUGUGCAUUUAGACACAUUGAAAUCUUCUAUUACUUGCCUUUUUAGUCCAAUGUAUAAGGUAAUCUUCAUGAUUUCAUUGAUAAAUGAAAUUGUUGAGGGUUAAAACUCAAUUCAGACUAAUCUUUCUCUAGC
RNAcentral lists this RNase P RNA (310 nucleotides) under Phlebotomus papatasi. RNAcentral's name for it is "nuclear RNase P". It matches the Rfam family "Nuclear RNase P". From Rfam's summary of the family: Ribonuclease P (RNase P) is a ubiquitous endoribonuclease, found in archaea, bacteria and eukarya as well as chloroplasts and mitochondria. Its best characterised activity is the generation of mature 5'-ends of tRNAs by cleaving the 5'-leader elements of precursor-tRNAs. Cellular RNase Ps are ribonucleoproteins. Lineage: Eukaryota; Metazoa; Arthropoda; Insecta; Diptera; Psychodidae. The record is from RNAcentral.